UACGUAGGGUGCGAGCGUUGUCCGGAAUUACUGGGCGUAAAGAGCUCGUAGGUGGUUUGUCGCGUUGUUCGUGAAAACCGGGGGCUUAACCCUCGGCGUGCGGGCGAUACGGGCAGACUGGAGUACUGCAGGGGAGACUGGAAUUCCUGGUGUAGCGGUGGAAUGCGCAGAUAUCAGGAGGAACACCAGUGGCGAAGGCGGUUCUCUGGGCAUUACCUGACGCUGAGGAGCGAAAGUGUGGGGAGCGAACAGG
Molecule: ribosomal RNA, 253 nt
Filed under: uncultured bacterium
Lineage: Bacteria
Description: partial 16S ribosomal RNA
Rfam family: Bacterial small subunit ribosomal RNA
Source: RNAcentral